GUCCAAAGUAAGGACAAUUUUUCCCAAGUGAUUGAGUGGAGCAGCAAAUGCCUGUGAAAAUAGUAGAUAUAAAAAUAUCAGCAAGAGCCAAAAUUACAAGACUGUUUCUGAAAAUAUUCCGAAAGAAUGUUUAGAAAACAUCUUUUUCCAGGUAGACAGAGAGUUUGUGAGGCUGCAUCAUUGGCAUCAUUUUAUCAUCACCAUCCCGCUCAGGAGCUCAAGAAGAGGGGAACUGAGUCAGUUAGAAUUACAGAGAAAAAAACAUAGUAUAUAUAAGGUUCUGGAGCUGAAAAAUACAAUGAACAAAGUGAAAAGUGAAACAGAGACUAUCAGCAGCAGAAUUAGUCAAGCAAAAGAAAGAAUCUGCAAAAUUGAAGAUGAGUUAUUUGAAAAUAUACAGUGAGAAGAGGAAAAAGAAAACCAUUUUUAAAAAUGAAGAAAGCUUACAGGAAUUAUGAGACAGCAUCAACAGACCAAAAGUUUGAGUCACUGGCAUUUUGGAAAUCUGCAGCUUCAGGGUGAUAAUAAUUUCAGUUGGAGCCUCACUGGUAACCUUGCUCAGCCACACGACUGGAAUGUAAGAGGCUGGGGCAUUUUGGACAGCACAGAUGUUAAACGUGAACACUACCUUCUCAGUAGCACAAAUCUGACUACAUCUUUAAGUCUCCAAGAGGAGAAAAAGAGCUUCAGGAAAGGGAGGAUGGGGAAGAGUUUCUGCAACAGAUCUUGAUACUUUUCAAUUCCAAGUCUUAUGAGCCAAAAUCUUGUUGCUGAUGGAAGGAAGAGAAAGAUUUAAAUUGGAUAUAAGCUAGCUAGGUUGAUGUCAAAUAGCUGAGAGUGAUGAGAAAGAAUGGGAUUUCCUUUAGAAUGUCACUAAGGGAUAGAAAUGAAAAUUCUACAGAACAGUUGAAGGAAAUGACUUUUAAAAGAAAAAGAGAAACAACUUCAUAUCUGUGUCUCAUCAAAUUCACAUCAUUCAUUAAUCUGGCUACACAUUGUUGAACAUGAGGACAUGAGCAAUAGAGGAAACCUGGAGGAAGAGGGUGUGGCAUGUUGAAAUUUAAAAAGAAGCAAUGUGUAUUUGCAAGUCAAACCAAUAUAAUAAAACCAGUGGUUAUUUUUUAAUGUUUUCAAUCAUUGGAAUAUACAUGAAUUUUCACAAUAAAGUGUGCUAAAGUAUUCAUAUCUUUUAGACCAUUAUUUGUCCUCCAGUAA
Molecule: long non-coding RNA, 1215 nt
Filed under: Homo sapiens (human)
Lineage: Eukaryota; Metazoa; Chordata; Mammalia; Primates; Hominidae
Description: HSALNT0320903
Source: RNAcentral